This 235-nucleotide long non-coding RNA is filed under the name Elaeis guineensis (African oil palm). RNAcentral's name for it is "long non-coding RNA (EGUI_LNC023817)". The record is from RNAcentral. Lineage: Eukaryota; Viridiplantae; Streptophyta; Magnoliopsida; Arecales; Arecaceae.
GGGUAUAUAGCCAUUCCGAUUUGCAUUUCAAUUCAUUCAGAUUUCAAUUUUGAUUUUGAUCAUAAACCAAACACUUUCUGGAUAUAUCAAAAAAAAAUGCUCCUUAAACCCAUUUUUGGAACAGAAAUAUGGGACACAUUUUUUUUGGCAUGUGAGAUACGUGCAAGUGGGCCAUUUCUUAGAACACGACGGAUUAGGAAAAAAAAAAAUCCUUUCAUCUUCUCUUGUGCCCCCA